Molecule: ribosomal RNA, 226 nt
Filed under: Escherichia coli
Lineage: Bacteria; Pseudomonadati; Pseudomonadota; Gammaproteobacteria; Enterobacterales; Enterobacteriaceae
Description: partial 23S ribosomal RNA
Rfam family: Bacterial large subunit ribosomal RNA
Source: RNAcentral
AGUGGACGCAUCACUGGUGUUCGGGUUGUCAUGCCAAUGGCACUGCCCGGUAGCUAAAUGCGGAAGAGAUAAGUGCUGAAAGCAUCUAAGCACGAAACUUGCCCCGAGAUGAGUUCUCCCUGACUCCUUGAGAGUCCUGAAGGAACGUUGAAGACGACGACGUUGAUAGGCCGGGUGUGUAAGCGCAGCGAUGCGUUGAGCUAACCGGUACUAAUGAACCGUGAGG